RNAcentral lists this ribosomal RNA (1369 nucleotides) under Cymatophoropsis trimaculata. RNAcentral describes it as "16S ribosomal RNA". Lineage: Eukaryota; Metazoa; Arthropoda; Insecta; Lepidoptera; Erebidae. The record is from RNAcentral.
GGGGGAUAAAUUAAUAAGGUAAGAAAUUAAUAAAAAAAUUUUUAAAUAUAAAUAUGAUAAUGGGGGUUAAAGUAUUUAUAUAGAAAAAAUUAAUUAAUUUAUAGUGGAUUAGUAUUGUAAAAGAAUUUUGAAUUAUAUGUAAAAUAAAUUUAUUUUAAAGUAAUUUUAAAUUAGUGUAUCUUGUGUAUCAGAGUUUAUUAAUAAAAAUUUUUAGGGAAAAAAUUCUCGAAUUUAAAAGAGAUAAUUAAUUAAAAAAGUUAUUGUGGCAUAAAUAUUUUAAAUAAUUAAUUGGAAAUGAAAUGUUAAUCGUUUUUAAAUAUAUCUAGUUUUUUUAGAAAAAAAUUUAAUUUUAAAUUUAUUUAGGAAUAAUUUAAUUGAUUAAAUUAUUCCUAAAUAAAUUUUAUAUUUUAAGGGAUAAGCUUUAAAUUAAAUUUGUAUAAUAAAAUUUAAAAAAUUUUUGAAAAUUAUAUAAUUUAUAUUUUUAAAAAAUUUUAAUUUAUUAUAAAUAAUUUCAUUAAAAAUAAAAUUUAAAUAAUAAAAAUUUACAUUUUAAUAAAAAAAAAUUUUUGAAUAUUAUAAAAUUUAAUAUAAUGAUAAAAUUAGUAUAUAAAUAAAUUUUAAAUAAUUAAUUUUAUUAAAAUUAAAUAAAAGGAAUUCGGCAAAUUUUAUAUUCACUUGUUUAUCAAAAACAUGUCUUUUUGAAUUUAAUAUAAAGUCUAAUCUGCCCACUGAUUUAAUUAUUGAAGGGCUGCAGUAUUUUGACUGUACAAAGGUAGCAUAAUCAUUAGUCAUUUAAUUGAUGACUUGUAUGAAAGAUUGGAUGAAAUAUUUACUGUCUCUUUUUUAUAUAAGUAGAAUUUAAUUUUUUAAUUAAAAAGUUAAAAUAAAUUAAAAAGACGAGAAGACCCUAUAGAGUUUUAUAAUUAAAUUAAUUAAGAUUAUUAUUAAAUAUAAAAAUUAAAAUUAUUUUAAUUAUUUUAUUGGGGUGAUAGAAAAAUAAAAUUAACUUUUUUUUUUUUUAACAUAAAUAAAUGAUUAUUUUGAUCCAAUUUUAUUGAUUAUAAGAAAAAAUUACCUUAGGGAUAACAGCGUAAUUUUUUUUUUUAGUACAAAUAAAAAAAAGAGUUUGCGACCUCGAUGUUGGAUUAAGAUAAAAUUUAAAUGUAGAAGUUUAAAAUUUUUGAUCUGUUCGAUCAUUAAAAUCUUACAUGAUCUGAGUUCAAACCGGUGUGAGCCAGGUUGGUUUCUAUCUUUUAAUAAUUAGAAUAUUUUAGUACGAAAGGAUUAAAUAUUUAAAUUAAAUUUAUUAAAAAAGAAUAUUAUUAAUUUAUUUAUAAAUAAUUUAUUUAUUUAUUUAAUGUGAAAAUAG